GGGGGGGGGGGGGGGCUCGUUUGGUAGAAAACAGCGCUCCUUCAGCUCCUAGGUCCCUAGGUUUGUUUCUAGCGUCUCUUUUCAGCUCAGCCUUAGGUUUUCAUUUUUGUGUUUCUUUUACCCUUUUCAGAGAAAACGACUGAUGGGGGAAUUGGGGUCUAUUGGACUCCAUCGCCAGCCGGAAAUGGCGAAGAGAUUUAGGGCGACGGGUUUACAGAGAGAACUGGGUGAGGAAGUGAAGUGGAGAUCCUAGGUUAUUCUGAAAUGUUUGGACAAUUUUAAGUAAAAUGGGGA
Molecule: long non-coding RNA, 294 nt
Filed under: Nicotiana benthamiana
Lineage: Eukaryota; Viridiplantae; Streptophyta; Magnoliopsida; Solanales; Solanaceae
Description: long non-coding RNA (NBEN_LNC032893)
Source: RNAcentral